ACGAACGCUGGCGGCGUGCUUAACACAUGCAAGUCGAGCGGUAAGGCCCUUUCGGGGGUACGACGAGCGGCGAACGGGUGAGUAACACGUGGGUGACCUGCCCUCAGCUCUGGGAUAAGCCUGGGAAACCGGGUCUAAUACUGGAUAUGACUCCAUGACGCAUGUUGGUGGGGUGGAAAGCCUUGUGCGGCUGAGGAUGGGCCCGCGGCUAUCAGCUUGUUGGUGGGGUGACGGCCUACCAAGGCGACGACGGGUAGCCGGCCUGAGA
Molecule: ribosomal RNA, 268 nt
Filed under: uncultured bacterium
Lineage: Bacteria
Description: partial 16S ribosomal RNA
Rfam family: Bacterial small subunit ribosomal RNA
Source: RNAcentral